This is a non-coding RNA of Pelobates cultripes (western spadefoot toad), 322 nucleotides long. The record is from the annotation of a GenBank genome assembly. NCBI's taxonomy places the organism in Eukaryota, Metazoa, Chordata, Amphibia, Anura, Pelobatidae.
GGUAAUUCUAAGAUUUAAAGGAACAUUCAAUGCACAAUAACAAACUAUUCUCUGAGUAGAGGUUAUGGUCCUAGCCCCUGUUUGUACAAAUCACUGCAACGCUAAUCCUACAUCCUUCAGUGAUGUCAUGAGUAGUGCAUUUUGUAUUUACAUUGGCUUCCCAUAUCAUUCAGAAUCCAAUUCAAACUAUAUUGCAAAAGUGUUGGCAGAACCCGCACUCAAUUCCUGAGCAGCCACCCGGUGCUCCGGAGCAGGACCAGCAAUCCCACAACAGCAAAGCAACAGAAGAAAUAUCUCCAGGCACUCAGGACGUUAAAGCCGC